Pelobates cultripes (western spadefoot toad) is the source of this 234-nucleotide non-coding RNA. Lineage: Eukaryota; Metazoa; Chordata; Amphibia; Anura; Pelobatidae. The record is from the annotation of a GenBank genome assembly.
GCAAGACCAGUUGAAACUGGCUGCUUUGUCCCUCCUCAAUCUCUCAUCAGCCCUUGCUAUUGUUUAACCACAUGGCGUUCCAACUGUAUUUGUGAGAUCUAAGCGCUUUUCGGACAUAUUGAGCACUCAGAUCCAAACUAUCUGGGGAUAUGUUGGACAUAUAGGUUAAACAUUGUAUUAUAUGAGUUAUGUAUUUUUGUGUGGUUUUUGUAACAGUUUUUACUUAGAGAUAUU